CCCUGGUUUGAUUUCAAAGUGUCCAACAUUUUCAGGAAUAAUCAUGCAUGAAGGUUGACUAGUCCUAGUGGGAUGUAAAUAUUGUCGAAGUGUCAUAACUGGGGGUCUACCUUCAUCACCAUGGUGACUUUCUACAUCAUCAGGAAAAUUUGCCAUCUCACAAGGUGUGAGAUACUGCGAAGGAAUUUCAAGGAUGUGUCCUAAGAGAUGAUCUAAAGUUGUACGACUUAAUCGACCGGUGUCGUCCCUAUUCCACCCUAGCAUACAAAGUUUCAGAGUUUAUUUAUUUAUUUAUUCUUUUAAUGAUCACCCUUGAUCUUUUCUUAAAGUUCUUAUCAAUUUUCAACUAGCAACAAGGGUUAAUGAGAUAUGAUAAUAAUAAAAUUCUGAUUCUUAAAAAAAAAAAAAUUAAAUACAGAAAAUUCAAAACAGACAGCAGCAAGGUUUCAGAUUAAUAUAAUGGUCGUAAAAGUAUCAGAAUGUCAAUCACACCGUUCAGAUGAAAGAAACACAGGUCCUGCACCCGACGACCAAAUUUGAAUCCAAUCAGACGGUGAAUUACUGAGAUAUCAGAGUUUGAUGCAGACUGUGCAGGGAAUAAAAAAACAGCAAUAAAGAUUCAAAUUUUUUUUUAAAAAGAAAAAUACUAACAAAUCAACUAAAAAUUAACUCUAAAAAUAUACUAAUAAAUCAGCCGUUCUCCGGCAACGGCGCCAAAAACUUGGUGC
This 728-nucleotide long non-coding RNA is filed under the name Phoenix dactylifera (date palm). RNAcentral describes it as "long non-coding RNA (PDAC_LNC003133)". The record is from RNAcentral. Lineage: Eukaryota; Viridiplantae; Streptophyta; Magnoliopsida; Arecales; Arecaceae.